Molecule: ribosomal RNA, 497 nt
Filed under: uncultured bacterium
Lineage: Bacteria
Description: partial 16S ribosomal RNA
Rfam family: Bacterial small subunit ribosomal RNA
Source: RNAcentral
GAUGAACGCUGGCGGCGUGCCUAAUACAUGCAAGUCGAGCGAACGGACGAGAAGCUUGCUUCUCUGAUGUUAGCGGCGGACGGGUGAGUAACACGUGGAUAACCUACCUAUAAGACUGGGAUAACUUCGGGAAACCGGAGCUAAUACCGGAUAAUAUUUUGAACCGCAUGGUUCAAAAGUGAAAGACGGUCUUGCUGUCACUUAUAGAUGGAUCCGCGCUGCAUUAGCUAGUUGGUAAGGUAACGGCUUACCAAGGCAACGAUGCAUAGCCGACCUGAGAGGGUGAUCGGCCACACUGGAACUGAGACACGGUCCAGACUCCUACGGGAGGCAGCAGUAGGGAAUCUUCCGCAAUGGGCGAAAGCCUGACGGAGCAACGCCGCGUGAGUGAUGAAGGUCUUCGGAUCGUAAAGCUCUUUUAGUUGGGAAGAACAUAUGUGUAAGUAACUGUGCACAUCUUGACGGUACCUAAUCAGAAAGCCACGGCUAACUACGUG